RNAcentral lists this long non-coding RNA (670 nucleotides) under Homo sapiens (human). RNAcentral describes it as "HSALNT0052030". The record is from RNAcentral. Lineage: Eukaryota; Metazoa; Chordata; Mammalia; Primates; Hominidae.
GCGGCGAGGAAAAGUAAAGUGACAGCUGGGUCCCGCGCGCAGACUGGGCUCUGACGGGGCCCUCCCACGUAAAAGCACCUUGAGAAAAAGGAUUUCGUCGUCUGGGGUUCAGUGCUGUAUAUAUUCAAUAGAUAAUGACCGAGUGAAAGAAAUUGGUCUCUUUCAGUUGAUGACACAAUAGGCAAGAGAAAGAGGCCCACUGCAAUAUGCUGUGAAGAAUACAUAAGAAGUCAAACUGUUGACCUCUUUUCCCCAGCCCGUUCCAAAACUACAUCCCUGAGGAGUUGUGCACCUCUACGGAAAGUUCAGAUGAAAGAGCUAAUUCCCCUUGAUCUCUCUUCUUGUUCAGAGUGGAGGAAAAACAUAUACCAUCCCUUCCAUCAAUCCUCAGCAUAACUUUGCCAGGGACACUGGUAACAAGCUACUUUUACCUCAGAAGUUGGAGAGUAUCACUUGACCCACAUUGUGUAUGUGUAAAUAUCUUUAUUCAGUGUAUAUACAAUAUAUUCUUAAUUUGACUCUCAAAGUUUAUAAUUAGCAUUGAAUGAGUAUGAAACAUUGUUUUCCAAAUACUGUCAGCAAGCUAUUGAAUAUGUUGUUCCUGAUUUAUGAAUGAGAUUUUCAUCAGCAGAAACUUAUGACAAAUGACCAAUUACAUUGUCACUGCUAA